AGAUCAGGCCUUCGGACAGAAGAGACAGGUGGUGCAUGGUUGUCGUCAGCUCGUGUCGUGAGAUGUUGGGUUAAGUCCCGCAACGAGCGCAACCCUUAUCAUUAGUUGCUAACAUUCAGUUGAGAACUCUAAUGAGACUGCCAGUGAUAAACUGGAGGGAAGGUGGGAUGACGUCAAAUCAUCAUGCCCUUAUGACCUGGGCUACACACGUGCUACAAUGGCCGGUACAAAGAGUUGCGAAACUGUGAAGUUAAGCUAAUCUCAUAAAGCCGGUCUCAGUUCGGAUUGUAGUCUGCAACUCGACUACAUGAAGUCGGAAUCGCUAGUAAUCGCGAAUCAGAAUGUCGCGGUGAAUACGUUCUCGAGUCUU
RNAcentral lists this ribosomal RNA (370 nucleotides) under uncultured Bacillota bacterium. Its description in RNAcentral is "bacterial SSU rRNA". It matches the Rfam family "Bacterial small subunit ribosomal RNA", at positions 1009 to 1382 of the family's 1533-position model. The record is from RNAcentral. Lineage: Bacteria; Bacillati; Bacillota.